UCCAUUAUUGGUUCAAGAAGUCCCCUGCU
This 29-nucleotide non-coding RNA is filed under the name Rattus norvegicus (Norway rat). The record is from RNAcentral. Lineage: Eukaryota; Metazoa; Chordata; Mammalia; Rodentia; Muridae.